Molecule: ribosomal RNA, 413 nt
Filed under: uncultured bacterium
Lineage: Bacteria
Description: bacterial SSU rRNA
Rfam family: Bacterial small subunit ribosomal RNA
Source: RNAcentral
GUGUCAGCCGCCGCGGUAAUACGUAGGGUGCGAGCGUUAAUCGGAAUUACUGGGCGUAAAGCGUGCGCAGGCGGUUUUUUAAGAUAGGCGUGAAAUCCCCGGGCUUAACCUGGGAACUGCGCUUAUGACUGGAAGACUAGAGUACGGCAGAGGGGGGUGGAAUUCCACGUAUAGCAGUGAAAUGCGUAGAGAUGUGGAGGAACACCAAUGGCGAAGGCAGCCCCCUGGGCCGAUACUGACGCUCAUGCACGAAAGCGGGGGGAGCAAACAGGAUUAGAUACCCUGGUAGUCCACGCCCUAAACGAUGUCAACUAGGUGUUGGGUGGGUAAAACCAUUUAGUACCGUAGCUAACGCGUGAAGUUGACCGCCUGGGGAGUACGGCCGCAAGGUUAAAACUUAAAUGAAUUGGCGG